This 1313-nucleotide long non-coding RNA is filed under the name Gouania willdenowi (blunt-snouted clingfish). RNAcentral's name for it is "lncRNA (ENSGWIG00000012185.1)". Lineage: Eukaryota; Metazoa; Chordata; Actinopteri; Blenniiformes; Gobiesocidae. The record is from RNAcentral.
CCAGCGAGAGUAAUUCACUCUGAUGUGUAUUUGUGUGGGCGUGUGCUUUGGGCAAUCCUGACGAUCGGGUUGGGCGAGCACUGGGAGGAUUAGAAGGCGGAGCUUCUGCUCACAAAACUGUGUAAGGCACCACGAGUUGCCAUCUGUGGAUUUCCAGCGUGGGUCAGGAGGAGUUAAAGGUCCGUCUGGGAAGCGCUGGAACCACAGCUUGUUUUGAGGACCUCCAGCUCCUUCCCUCAGCAGACAUGAUCAUCAGACUGGGCCGACUGACGCCAGGAUACUUCCGUCUCCUUCAGAGGCAGGUUGCCGGAGAGGUGCAAACGCAGCCUCAGGACCGCGCCGUUAACCAGAUCGCUAUGAUGCUGGCCAUCAUGGGUCUGAGCCUGUCCUACUACAGCGCCAAACAGAUGACGGAGAAGGUCAAUGCCCAGCCGGCUCCCUGAAGGGAGUUAAUCUCACUAAUGGCGAGAGAUUGCGAUGGAGCCAAUGAUCAGCGAUGGAGGUGGAAGUCUUUACGGACAGAUUUUUUUCACCUCGGUUAUAGUCGCUAAAAUUCUGAGCCCCUUCUUUCCCUUUUAAAAUGGUCACGCAUAGUUUCUCAUCAGGGGUUUUCCUGGGCACAGUCCUUCCUAUGAACAGGACUAGGUUUUUCUGAACUGGGUGGGUGAACAAAACCAGUAAAAGUGCCAACUGGGUCUGAACAUUAGUCCUUACAAAGGUUCCAUGCUUACACAAUGCCAUUAAUACUGUUCUGAGGUAGAAAAAAGGGUUGACGCUGAACCCACAGUAGAGUUUAAGGAAAGGCUGACUGUGAUUGAGAUGGACUUUGUAAGGAAGUGAUGGCAGGCCCAGCGUGAGGUGAAAGGGGAUGAAAAAGUGAAUUCCGCCCUUUAGUUUCUUAGCGAGAUAAUCUUGCAGAGUCUCCUGAACAGAUGUGGAGCUGUUUGUUUAGUUUUUUUUUAAUGUCAGGUCUCUGAAAUUCACUCUAUUUGCGCCAAACUGUGCAAAUGUUUUAAAAUUUCUACAUCUAAUGUGCAACGGGACUCUAAACUACUCACUGCUUUUUUUUUUUUCUUUUUUUCUCACAGUUUAUUGUAUGAAGUCUCAUUUGUGUGACCAUCCUUUUGAACUAAGCACUUAAGUAUCUUUUCUGUCAACUCUAAUGUGAAAGCCUUUUAUUUUGAAAUCAUGAUGCAUGGGUGUGCAGAUCUGUAAUCAAAUCUUUUGUUUUUGUUUUAUUGAUGGUUGAUGAAUGUAUAUUGUUUUUGUAAAGAUUUAAUAAAGACUGUGAAUAUUUUUUUAAAAGAUGUUAU